UAUUUUUUUUUCAUGUACAUUUGAAAAAUUAUUAAAUAAAGACGCAAAAAAAUAAGAAACAGAAUAGCAUUAAGACUUCGUUUGAAACUGCAAGGAGAUUGCUUUACGUGUGAUGAGAAAGUACGAUAAAAAAAUAUCAUAUUUGUUUCCGUAUGUAAUAUUGUGUUCUGCAUAUUCUGUGGUCCCAUCCGAGAACGCAGAAGUAUAUUUCUAUAUGUUUUCAUCUUAAUUUUAUUUUAUCUAAUAACGCUAAAUAUAUCUCAAUACCAAACUAAGCCUAAAAGAAAAAAAAAGUUAUCCAUAAAAAACAAAAAAAA
This 317-nucleotide long non-coding RNA is filed under the name Ananas comosus (pineapple). Its description in RNAcentral is "long non-coding RNA (ACOM_LNC018620)". The record is from RNAcentral. Lineage: Eukaryota; Viridiplantae; Streptophyta; Magnoliopsida; Poales; Bromeliaceae.